CUGAAAAUGGGUGGUAAAUUCCCUCUNAAGCUAAUUAUAGGCGAGAGACCGAUAGCGAACAAGUACCGUGAGGGAAAGAUGNAAAGAACUUUGGCAAGAGAGUUAAACAGUACGUGAAAUUGCUGAAAGGGAAACGCUGGAAGUCAGUCGCGUUGGCUAGGAAUCAACCUUACUCUUUUGUAGGGCUUACUUCUUAGUUGACGGGCCAACAUCAAUUUAGAUUGCUGGAAAAAGGCUUAGGGAAUGUGGCACCUUCGGGUGUGUUAUAGCCCUAGGUUGUAUACAGUGGUUGGGAUUGAGGAACGCAGCACGCCGAAAGGUUGGGUCUUUUGACCAGACUCGUGCUUCGGAUGUUGGCAUAAUGGCUUUCAUCGACGCGUCUUGAAAUACGGACCAAGGAGUCUAACAUGCCUGCGAGUGUUUGAGUGGAAAACUCGAGCGCGUAAUGAAAGUAAUUAGUUGAGAUCUCUGUCAUGGAGAGCAUCGACGCCCGGACCUGAUGUAUACUGACGGUUCUGCGGUAGAGCAUGUAUGUUGGGACACGAAAGAU
This 550-nucleotide ribosomal RNA is filed under the name Cyathus stercoreus. RNAcentral describes it as "LSU rRNA". It matches the Rfam family "Eukaryotic large subunit ribosomal RNA", at positions 286 to 824 of the family's 3401-position model. Lineage: Eukaryota; Fungi; Basidiomycota; Agaricomycetes; Agaricales; Nidulariaceae. The record is from RNAcentral.